RNAcentral lists this non-coding RNA (29 nucleotides) under Mus musculus (house mouse). Lineage: Eukaryota; Metazoa; Chordata; Mammalia; Rodentia; Muridae. The record is from RNAcentral.
UACAAUGGGUUUAAGGUGGCUAUAGAUGG